CUACGGGUCGCACCAGUGGGGAAUAUUGGGCAAUGGGCGCAAGCCUGACCCAGCAACGCCGCGUGAGGGAAGAAGGUUUUCGGAUUGUAAACCUCUGUCCUUGGGGACGAAGAAGUGACGGUACCCAAGGAGGAAGCUCCGGCUAACUACGUGCCAGCAGCCGCGGUAAUACGUAGGGAGCAAGCGUUGUCCGGAAUUACUGGGCGUAAAGGGUGCGUAGGCGGCAUAUUAAGUCAGGUGUGAAAUACUCGGGCUCAACCCGAGGGGUGCAUUUGAAACUGAUAAGCCUGAGUGUGAGAGAGGAAAGUGGAAUUCCUAGUGUAGCGGUGGAGUGCGUAGAUAUUAGGAGGAACACCAGUGGCGAAGGCGACUUUCUGGCUCAUAACUGACGCUGAGGCACGAAAGCGUGGGGAGCAAACAGGAUUAGAUACCCUCGUAGUC
RNAcentral lists this ribosomal RNA (441 nucleotides) under uncultured bacterium. RNAcentral's name for it is "partial 16S ribosomal RNA". It matches the Rfam family "Bacterial small subunit ribosomal RNA", at positions 339 to 795 of the family's 1533-position model. The record is from RNAcentral.